AGUGAACGCUGGCGGUAGGCCUAACACAUGCAAGUCGAACGGCAGCACAGUAAGAGCUUGCUCUUACGGGUGGCGAGUGGCGGACGGGUGAGGAAUACAUCGGAAUCUACUUUUUCGUGGGGGAUAACGUAGGGAAACUUACGCUAAUACCGUAUACGACCUACGGGUGAAAGCAGGGGAUCUUCGGACCUUGCGCGAUUGAAUGAGCCGAUGUCGGAUUAGCUGGUUGGCGGGGUAAAGGCCCACCAAGGCGACGAUCCGUAGCUGGUCUGAGAGGAUGAUCAGCCACACUGGAACUGAGACACGGUCCAGACUCCUACGGGAGGCAGCAGUGGGGAAUAUUGGACAAUGGGCGCAAGCCUGAUCCAGCCAUACCGCGUGGGUGAAGAAGGCCUUCGGGUUGUAAAGCCCUUUUGUUGGGAAAGAAAAGCAGCAGGUUAAUACCCCGCUGUUCUGACGGUACCCAAAGAAUAAGCACCGGCUAACUUCGUG
This 492-nucleotide ribosomal RNA is filed under the name uncultured bacterium. RNAcentral's name for it is "partial 16S ribosomal RNA". It matches the Rfam family "Bacterial small subunit ribosomal RNA", at positions 29 to 507 of the family's 1533-position model. The record is from RNAcentral.